Molecule: ribosomal RNA, 774 nt
Filed under: Triticum aestivum (bread wheat)
Lineage: Eukaryota; Viridiplantae; Streptophyta; Magnoliopsida; Poales; Poaceae
Description: partial small subunit ribosomal RNA
Source: RNAcentral
AUGUUGGAAAUGUGCAGCGGAUACACACGCAACAAAGAUUGCAAGGUUCAACACUAUUGCUACAUUUGUGAUAAGAUUGCUCAUCCAACAUUGCGAUGUCCUGUCUUGAAACUUCCUAAGGCCAAUGCCUUUGUUUCGGGAGUAGGAGCUGAAGAGACUCGUUUUGCUCAAUUACCUGAUUGUGUUGUGAAAGGUCACUUGGCACCAACUCAGUCUCCUAUUGCGUGUGUUCAUGUUAGUGGUAUUAUGGUACCUGCUUAUGUUAUUGAGAGCCAGGUCCUAAGGAGAUUCCCGGUUCAGACACAGUGGAAGUGGGAGGCUAUACCACAUGGGGAGGAUGCAUAUCUUGUUAGCUUUCCAUCUUUUGAGGAUUUGGACAGGGUCGAUGGAAUUCAGAUGAAUGUGUCAUCGGUUAACGCUCAGAUCACAAUCUCUGCAUGGAAGUCUCAGGAGAUCCCACAUAAGUUGGAACUCAAGCAGGUUUGGAUCCACGUAGAGCGUGUCCCACACACUGUUCGCCAUUUUUGGGGCUUGUGGGCAGUGGGCUCUCUAAUAGGAAAGACCAUUGACGUCGAUCUCGUCAACCUAAGACGUCGUGGGGUUGUUCGGAUUCUUAUGGCCAUGAUGAAUACUCAGAUUUUAUCGAAGGAGAAAGAUGAUGUUAGGCCUUUUAUCUCCAUGGAUGUGGUGGUUAAACCAAAAGGAUAUGCAGUCGCAUUCAGGAGAGAACCAGCGGGCUAUGUUCCGAACCCGGAUUUUAUGCCGUUUAUUUGA